RNAcentral lists this ribosomal RNA (252 nucleotides) under uncultured bacterium. Its description in RNAcentral is "partial 16S ribosomal RNA". It matches the Rfam family "Bacterial small subunit ribosomal RNA", at positions 524 to 776 of the family's 1533-position model. The record is from RNAcentral.
UACGGAGGAUGCGAGCGUUAUCCGGAUUUAUUGGGUUUAAAGGGUGCGUAGGCGGAGUGCCAAGUCAGCGGUAAAAAUUCGGGGCUCAACCCCGUCGUGCCGUUGAAACUGGCGCCCUUGAGUGGGCGAGAAGUAUGCGGAAUGCGUGGUGUAGCGGUGAAAUGCAUAGAUAUCACGCAGAACCCCGAUUGCGAAGGCAGCAUACCGGCGCCCGACUGACGCUGAAGCACGAAAGCGUGGGUACCGAACAGG